RNAcentral lists this ribosomal RNA (532 nucleotides) under Colletotrichum truncatum. RNAcentral describes it as "SSU rRNA". It matches the Rfam family "Eukaryotic small subunit ribosomal RNA", at positions 558 to 1095 of the family's 1831-position model. Lineage: Eukaryota; Fungi; Ascomycota; Sordariomycetes; Glomerellales; Glomerellaceae. The record is from RNAcentral.
AGCUUGGUGCCAGCAGCCGCGGUAAUUCCAGCUCCAAUAGCGUAUAUUAAAGUUGUUGUGGUUAAAAAGCUCGUAGUAGAACCUUGGGCCUGGCUGGCCGGUCCGCCUCACCGCGUGCACUGGUCCGGCCGGGCCUUUCCCUCUGUGGAACCGCAUGCCCUUCACUGGGUGUGCCGGGGAAACAGGACUUUUACUUUGAAAAAAUUAGAGUGCUCCAGGCAGGCCUAUGCUCGAAUACAUUAGCAUGGAAUAAUAGAAUAGGACGUGUGGUUCUAUUUUGUUGGUUUCUAGGACCGCCGUAAUGAUUAAUAGGGACAGUCGGGGGCAUCAGUAUUCAAUUGUCAGAGGUGAAAUUCUUGGAUUUAUUGAAGACUAACUACUGCGAAAGCAUUUGCCAAGGAUGUUUUCAUUUAUCAGGAACGAAAGUUAGGGGAUCGAAGACAGAUCAGAUACCGUCGUAGUCUUAACCAUAAACUAUGCCGACUAGGGGUCGGACGAUGUUAUUUUUUGACUCGUUCGGCACCUUACGAGA